CCGGGUGUGUGUCUGUCUCUGGGUGCGUGUGUGUUGGGGAGAGAGAGGGAGGGAGGCAGAGGGAGGGAGAGAGAGAGAGGGAGGACCGGGGCAGGAGUUGUGUAAAAGGGGCUGAAGUCCUGCGCUGCCUUCUCCUCCGCCGCUGCGAUAAAAAGGCUCCAGACGCCGUCAGAGCUCGGCACCACCGUGGACGUAAAAAUCGAAUCCACGGAGGACGACACACCCCGGUUGGAAGCUCCAGGACUCGGAGAGCGGUGGGCGAGGCAGCCUGAAGUCCGCCGGACCGUGCAGCUGCGUCGGAGGCUUGAGGCAGGAGCGACCCGGCCGGUGGUCAAGAAACGUGCACCCAAAGCAGAAGAAGGAAGGAGAAGGAGUCGCCUUUCGUGUCUCAGAGCGGCCCGUGCAUCACUCCGGUCUGCUCCGAACUCUCGCGCUCGCUGGCCGACUCCCACGGCUCCCACGGCUCCCUCACCCCCCUCACCCCUCGGCCCCAAAUGGCUGACACACAGCAGUUCUUCACUGGCAAGCUUUAUGUUCCUGUACACAUGCUAAAGCUGCCAGCUGAAGAACUGCUCUGGUCAGCCCUGCCCCGGAUGACUCAAGAAAAGGAAGCAGAUGGGGGGUGGUGGGAACCGGACUGAGAAAGACGGCGUUUCACACUCACAGCAGUCAGACUGGACUUGCCAGAUUUGAGCCUGUGGUUUACUUCACUAUUUUAUGAUCACACGUGUUUUUUUCCUUCCCAUUUGUUUAAACUGUGUCUAUGAUGUUGUUGUUGUUUUAGCUUCCAAUAAAGAACAAAAUGUUCCCUCA
Amphiprion ocellaris (clown anemonefish) is the source of this 813-nucleotide long non-coding RNA. RefSeq lists it as uncharacterized. The transcript is spliced from 2 exons. NCBI's taxonomy places the organism in Eukaryota, Metazoa, Chordata, Actinopteri, Pomacentridae. The record is from RefSeq and is a predicted model, not a curated record.